GACGAACGCUGGCGGCGUGCUUAACACAUGCAAGUCGAACGGAAAGGCCCUGCUUUUGUGGGGUGCUCGAGUGGCGAACGGGUGAGUAACACGUGAGUAACCUGCCCUUGACUUUGGGAUAACUUCAGGAAACUGGGGCUAAUACCGGAUAGGAGCUCCUGCUGCAUGGUGGGGGUUGGAAAGUUUCGGCGUUUGGGGAUGGACUCGCGGCUUAUCAGCUUGUUGGUGGGGUAGUGGCUUACCAAGGCUUUGACGGGUAGCCGGCCUGAGAGGGUGACCGGCCACAUUGGGACUGAGGUACGGCCCAGACUCCUACGGGAGGCAGCAGUGGGGAAUAUUGCACAAUGGGCGGAAGCCUGAUGCAGCAACGCCGCGUGCGGGAUGACGGCCUUCGGGUUGUAAACCGCUUUCGCCUGUGACGAAGCGUGAGUGACGGUAAUGGGUAAAGAAGCACCGGCUAACUACGUG
RNAcentral lists this ribosomal RNA (468 nucleotides) under uncultured bacterium. RNAcentral's name for it is "partial 16S ribosomal RNA". It matches the Rfam family "Bacterial small subunit ribosomal RNA", at positions 28 to 507 of the family's 1533-position model. The record is from RNAcentral.